AAUGAACGCUGGCGGCAUGCCUAACACAUGCAAGUCGAACGAGACCUUCGGGUCUAGUGGCGCACGGGUGCGUAACGCGUGGGAAUCUGCCCUUGGGUUCGGAAUAACAGUUAGAAAUGACUGCUAAUACCGAAUGAUGUCGUAAGACCAAAGAUUUAUCGCCCAGGGAUGAGCCCGCGUAAGAUUAGGUAGUUGGUGUGGGUAAAGGCGCACCAAGCCGAGAUUCUUUAGCUGGCUGAGAGGAUGAUCAGCCACACUGGGACUGAGACACGGCCCAGACU
Molecule: ribosomal RNA, 281 nt
Filed under: uncultured bacterium
Lineage: Bacteria
Description: partial 16S ribosomal RNA
Rfam family: Bacterial small subunit ribosomal RNA
Source: RNAcentral